GGCUCAUUGCAACCUCGACUCCUGGGUUCAAGCAAUCCUCCCACCUCAGCCUCCCCAGCCUUUGUGUGUUAGCUUCUUCAAAUUCUGGUUUUAGUAGAAUUGUGUUGGGUUUGUGAACAUGCUCACUGCCUCCUGCAUAGCCAAAUUGUUGAAGGUCUCAGGAAGAUCAUCUCAUUCCCCAUCACUGUGCAUUUGUGUCAACAGAUUUUGUAUUGGGUUGUGCAGUUCAAUCUCCAGGCAAGUAGGUGGUGUUUAUGGGUAAGAGCCAGCUGCAACAGACA
RNAcentral lists this long non-coding RNA (281 nucleotides) under Homo sapiens (human). RNAcentral describes it as "non-protein coding lnc-CPXCR1-3:1". The record is from RNAcentral. Lineage: Eukaryota; Metazoa; Chordata; Mammalia; Primates; Hominidae.